CUUGUGCAUUGCUAAUAAGCUGCAGCAUGAGUUUCUGCAUGGGUGCUUUUUGUUUGAAUUUAGUAUUUUGGUUUUUGGCAAAGCUUAAAAAGGGACUGCUUUGAACUUUCUCCAUGCUUGUCCUUCCUUAUUGCUGUUUCUUGUAGGUGAUCUGGAGGACUUGGAGGAUUUCCUUUCGGCCAAAUCAAGAAAAGGUUUUUCCAACAGAAGGAAGGUACAGGAUGUCUUUAGUAACAGGAUGUUGGAAUACAUUCUAAACCUGUGCCAGGGACAUUAUGAUUUCCUGGUUCGAAUGCCUGACAAUCUGCUUAUAUAUAUCCUGUCAUUUCUUAACACUGAUGCCAUUGGACAACUGUCAAAAACUUGCAAAAAAUUUCAGCAGUUAUGCAGCAGCAAAGCAUUUUGGGAGAGAGUUGGAAUGCUUCAAAAUAAACACAGUCUUGAUGAGAGGAUGAUGGCGUUCCCAGUCUACAAGAAGCUAAUGAACUUAAAUCAAAAGCACCAUCAGAUGCAGAGAAGACGGACUACACUUUUUUAAUGUUGUUUGAGUAUUAUUGGAAUAUACCCAACAGGCCAAUCAUGCAUUUUCCUAUUAUAUCACUACUACUAAAAGAAGAUUAAGAAGUUAAAAUAAAUAUCAAUUUCUCUAGAGGAUUAAGAUCUCAUCAGUCCGUUCCCUCAUUAGUUACAAUUGGAAUGGCAACAUUAGUUUGCAAAUCACGUUUCCAUCUGAAUUGUUUGAAAUUAUUUAAUUACAAGUAAUCCAUCAUUUUACUGGGAUGGAAACAACAGCAAUAUUUAUACUUUUUUCUUUUGUUAAGGAUUUUUUGUGGACGUUAUAGCUUCUCAUACAUAUCAGAGGAAUACCAAUGCAGCUGGGUGUGUCAGCUGGGCAGCUGUUACACACAGAUCAAUGGUAAAUUCUGGUUGCUACCAUGCCACCAACGUGAUUGUGCAACUGUGGCAGCAGCAUUUUUUUUUAGCCACCCUCCUCCUCCCAUCCAAGGCAGCACCUGAGACAGCUGCCCAGGUUGCCCUGCUCUUGUUAUGCUGCUGAUACAGGCCCUACAAUGUUGAACCUUAAAGUAAACAGUAAAGUAUACAAAGUUGUACACAAAAGGAGGAGGAAGAGGGUCACCCUGACCAGGCUUAGAGAAUAACGCAUAGGCCCAGCAAAAGACUAGUUGAAAAAUAAAGAAACAAGGGAAAAGGAACAGUUUGCUCUUUUAAAUUCUUAGUUUAAUUUUUAAAGGGGCCAAUGUGAGAUAAUUGAGCUUUAUUGAGCUUUUAAAGUCAUAAACGUAACAUCUUUCAAAAUGUUAUUCCUUUAAAUCUGCUUCAAGUCAUGAAUAUUACUGAUUAUUUAGCUUCUAUCUCACUCCACCUUACAAAAAUAGCUCAUUGGACAUACGCACACUUAUUAUAGUACAUGCGGUGCAGUAGGAAUUAUAAACAAAAGACUUGAGCCCUAAAUAAUGGCUUAAGAAGUGAUACAAAGGAGCUUGAGGGCGGGGGAGGCAGCAGGUUGGCCAUUACAUUUGAAAAAGUUAAAUGCCAAAUACUACUUCUCAUAGCCAUCAUAAAGCAGGAAAAUAUAUUGAAGUGAAUACAGUUGUGGUGUAAAUGCAGGCAGUUCCAAUGUUCU
Molecule: RNA transcript, 1645 nt
Organism: Alligator mississippiensis (American alligator)
Lineage: Eukaryota; Metazoa; Chordata; Crocodylia; Alligatoridae
Exons: 3
Source: RefSeq, a predicted model, not a curated record